This 474-nucleotide ribosomal RNA is filed under the name uncultured bacterium. Its description in RNAcentral is "partial 16S ribosomal RNA". It matches the Rfam family "Bacterial small subunit ribosomal RNA", at positions 28 to 523 of the family's 1533-position model. The record is from RNAcentral.
GACGAACGCUGGCGGCGUGCUUUAUACAUGCAAGUCGAACGAUGAAGUUCCUUCGGGAAUGGAUUAGUGGCGAACGGGUGAGGAACACGUGAGAAACCUGCCUUUCAUUCUGGGAUAACACCGGGAAACCGGUGCUAAUACCGGAUACUCCGUCUUGGCGGCAUCGCCGAGCCGGGAAAAAAUUUUGAUGAAAGAUGGUCUCGCGGCCUAUCAGCUAGUUGGUGAGGGAAAGGCUCACCAAGGCGACGACGGGUAGCCGGCCUGAGAUGGCGACCGGCCACACUGGGACUGAGACACGGCCCAGCCUCAUACGGGAGGCAGCAGUAGGGAAUAUUGGGCAAUGGGCGCAAGCCUGACCCAGCGACGCCGCGUGAGGGAUGAAGGUCUUCGGAUUGUAAGCUCUUUCACCCACGACGAUAAUGACGGUAGUGGGAGGAGAAGCCCCGGCUAACUUCGUGCCAGCCGCCGCAGUAA